Long non-coding RNA from Sardina pilchardus (European sardine), 570 nucleotides. RefSeq lists it as uncharacterized. NCBI's taxonomy places the organism in Eukaryota, Metazoa, Chordata, Actinopteri, Clupeiformes, Clupeidae. The record is from RefSeq and is a predicted model, not a curated record. The transcript is spliced from 2 exons.
GGGGAACGGUGACGAGCCAUAGCCAACCCGGCUGCAAGACGGCUGUCGGGGAAACGUUCACACAGGAGAAAAUGGAACAGAGCGAUAUUCGCGACGACAAAGACGGAAAUGUUCUACAGGGACCUGCACCAGUGACGUGCGGGUCCGGGUUAAGCCCACGCCGGAAAAGCCUGCGCCAUUGAAUGGAUGCUACGAGGGGGGAAACAAGCUUCUCCCCACAGAGCUAAGUGUAUGCCGUGGUUAUGCCACCGAUGAACUGAACUGCUAUUAUUUCCCGUGACCAUGAAGUUGCCAUUGUUCCCCGUUACCGUGAAGCUAACCUGCUAUAACUGACUACCUGCUAUCGCCCCUCUGUGACUGGUGGAUCAGCUCACUCUGGCCGCUACCACAACCUUAACCCUGCUCACAGCGACCGGACAGGGUGAGAGACUGGGACCGGAGCUCCUGAGUCGAGACGGAGUCCUGACUGGGUGACCCCCUGGAGGCCAUGUGGAGGGACUGCUCUUUGGACAUCGUCCACCUCUUCAAAGACUCUUAAUCUCAUUUUUAAAUAAAUAUAUUUUCUUUACA